AAGUCGUAACAAGGUUUCCGUAGGUGAACCUGCGGAAGGAUCAUUACCGAGUGGCGCGAAAUUCCUGUCGUGAGACGGGGAAGCUACCCGACCUUUUGUCAUUUUGUCAAGUCUGGCUGGCGGGAUUGCAUUCGUGAGAAAGCGAAUGUGGAUUUCGGCAGACGGACCAAAACUUCGGCGGAAGAGGUAGGCGUGGACCUGCCCGCCGCCGGCCGUAGAAGACAAUAUACAUUCUUGAGAGCAAACUGAAGUCUAAGACGAUCCUUGAAAAAGGAAUACCAAAAAAAAGCAAAACUUUCAACAACGGAUCUCUUGGCUCUG
This 321-nucleotide unclassified non-coding RNA is filed under the name fungal sp. RNAcentral describes it as "partial internal transcribed spacer region". The stretch from base 1 to 46 matches the Rfam family "Eukaryotic small subunit ribosomal RNA", at positions 1786 to 1831 of the family's 1831-position model. The record is from RNAcentral. RNAcentral also lists the same sequence under 1 other name. Lineage: Eukaryota; Fungi.